GACGUAGGGCGCGAGCGUUGUCCGGAUUUAUUGGGCGUAAAGAGCUCGUAGGCGGCUCGUUGCGUCGACCGUGAAAACCCGGGGCUCAACUUCGGGCUUGCGGUCGAUACGGGCGGGCUAGAGUUCGGUAGGGGAGACUGGAAUUCCUGGUGUAGCGGUGAAAUGCGCAGAUAUCAGGAGGAACACCGGUGGCGAAGGCGGGUCUCUGGGCCGAUACUGACGCUGAGGAGCGAAAGCGUGGGGAGCAAACAGG
Molecule: ribosomal RNA, 253 nt
Filed under: uncultured bacterium
Lineage: Bacteria
Description: partial 16S ribosomal RNA
Rfam family: Bacterial small subunit ribosomal RNA
Source: RNAcentral